UAAGUGAUACAUAAUUAUAAUUUUUAAGAGCUAGCGCGCACCACGGUGAAUUUCCGUACGUUUUCCCCCCGCAAAAUCUGUGAACUAUAGAAUCAUAUAGAAGCGCGCGCACUGCGGAAUUAAUUCCGCACCGGAUUUUAGUUGAUUUAAAUUCAAAGGAUUUUUAAACGCACCGAAACA
Maniola jurtina (meadow brown) is the source of this 180-nucleotide long non-coding RNA. RefSeq lists it as uncharacterized. Lineage: Eukaryota; Metazoa; Arthropoda; Insecta; Lepidoptera; Nymphalidae. The record is from RefSeq and is a predicted model, not a curated record. The transcript is spliced from 3 exons.